Molecule: ribosomal RNA, 222 nt
Filed under: Triticum aestivum (bread wheat)
Lineage: Eukaryota; Viridiplantae; Streptophyta; Magnoliopsida; Poales; Poaceae
Description: partial small subunit ribosomal RNA
Source: RNAcentral
AUGGACGCCUCCCCCGAGCUGCAACAGUUCCUGGAGCAAGAGAAGCAGAAGAUGGUGAUGAGUGAGAUGGUAACCAAGUUGACAAAUGUGUGCUGGGACAAAUGCAUCACCAGCACCCCAGGAAGCAAGUUCAGCUCCGGUGAAACUACCUGCCUGACCAAUUGUGCUCAGAGGUAUCUUGACAUGAGCAUGAUAAUUGCGAAGAGGUUCCAGAUGCAGUAG